AACGCCAAGAACCUUACCAAGUCUAGACAUCCUGCUGACCGGUGAGUAAUGUCACCUCUCCUUCGGGACAGCAGAGACAGGUGGUGCAUGGUUGUCGUCAGCUCGUGUCGUGAGAUGUUGGGUUAAGUCCCGCAACGAGCGCAACCCUUAUUGUCAGUAGCCAGCAUUUCGGAUGGGCACUCUGAUGAGACUGCCAGGGAUAACCUGGAGGAAGGUGGGGAUGACGUCAAAUCAUCAUGCCCCUUAUGACUUGGGCUACACACGUGCUACAAUGGCGUAAACAAAGGGAAGCGAGCCCGCGAGGGGGAGCAAAUCCCAAAAAUAACGUCCCAGUUCGGAUUGUAGUCUGCAACCCGACUACAUGAAGCUGGAACCGCUAGUAAUCGCGGAUCAGCAUGCCGCGGUGAAUACGUUCCCGGGCCUUGUACACACCGU
This 435-nucleotide ribosomal RNA is filed under the name uncultured bacterium. RNAcentral's name for it is "bacterial SSU rRNA". It matches the Rfam family "Bacterial small subunit ribosomal RNA", at positions 958 to 1393 of the family's 1533-position model. The record is from RNAcentral.